Molecule: ribosomal RNA, 578 nt
Filed under: Phyllosticta papayae
Lineage: Eukaryota; Fungi; Ascomycota; Dothideomycetes; Botryosphaeriales; Phyllostictaceae
Description: eukaryotic LSU rRNA
Rfam family: 5.8S ribosomal RNA (bases 206-359)
Source: RNAcentral
UCCGUAGGUGAACCUGCGGAGGGAUCAUUGCUGGAACGCGCCCCAGGCGCACCCAGAAACCCUUUGUGAACUUAUACCUUACUGUUGCCUCGGCGCAUGCCGGCCCCCCUGGGGGCCCCUCCUUCUGGAGGAGCAGGCACGCCGGCGGCCAACCUAACUCUUGUUUUUACACUGAAACUCUGAGAAUAAAACAUAAAUGAAUCAAAACUUUCAACAACGGAUCUCUUGGUUCUGGCAUCGAUGAAGAACGCAGCGAAAUGCGAUAAGUAAUGUGAAUUGCAGAAUUCAGUGAAUCAUCGAAUCUUUGAACGCACAUUGCGCCCUCUGGUAUUCCGGAGGGCAUGCCUGUUCGAGCGUCAUUUCAACCCUCAAGCCUGGCUUGGUGAUGGGGCACUGCCUGUAAAAGGGCAGGCCCUGAAAUUCAGUGGCGAGCUCGCCAGGACCCCGAGCGCAGUAGUUAAACCCUCGCUCUGGAAGGCCCUGGCGGUGCCCUGCCGUUAAACCCCCAACUUCUGAAAAUUUGACCUCGGAUCAGGUAGGAAUACCCGCUGAACUUAAGCAUAUCAAUAAGCGGAGGA